GCCAGACUCCUACGGGAGGCAGCAGUGGGGGAUAUUGCACAAUGGGGGGAACCCUGAUGCAGCGACGCCGCGUGGGUGAAGGAGCGUUUCGGCGCGUAAAGCCCUAUCGGCAGGGAAGAAGGAGGACGGUACCUGACUAAGAAGCCCCGGCUAACUACGUGCCAGCAGCCGCGGUAAUACGUAGGGGGCAAGCGUUAUCCGGAUUUACUGGGUGUAAAGGGGGCGCAGACGGCAGCGCAAGCCAGGAGUGAAAGCCCGGGGCCCAACCCCGGGACUGCUCUUGGAACUGCCCGGCUAGAGUGCUGGAGAGGUAGGCGGAAUUCCUAGUGUAGCGGUGAAAUGCGUAGAUAUUAGGAGGAACACCAGUGGCGAAGGCGGCUUACUGGACAGUAACUGACGUUGAGGCUCGAAAGCGUGGGGAGCAAACAGGAUUAGAUACCCUAGUAA
This 447-nucleotide ribosomal RNA is filed under the name uncultured bacterium. RNAcentral's name for it is "bacterial SSU rRNA". It matches the Rfam family "Bacterial small subunit ribosomal RNA", at positions 330 to 793 of the family's 1533-position model. The record is from RNAcentral.